GCCCUUUCGGGUAGGGAUAAGGCUCGUCUACAUAUUACCCUCCCCAGAUCCCACCUGGUGGGAGUAUACUGAGUAGUUGUUGUUGUUGUUGUUAACCCCAGUAUUAUUUGAUAGCCUUGGAGCAAUCUGAGUGUUGGUAAAUAUAGCUGAUUUGGAAAUUCUAUAAAUUUAGCAUGAAAAGUUGUUGAAUUGGCUUGAGUUUCCUCUCUCUAAUCAAACUCUAAUGUUACCAAGUUACUUUGAUGAAGUUUAUUUACUGCU
Molecule: long non-coding RNA, 261 nt
Filed under: Nicotiana benthamiana
Lineage: Eukaryota; Viridiplantae; Streptophyta; Magnoliopsida; Solanales; Solanaceae
Description: long non-coding RNA (NBEN_LNC034692)
Source: RNAcentral